Long non-coding RNA from Prunus dulcis (almond), 539 nucleotides. RefSeq lists it as uncharacterized. Lineage: Eukaryota; Viridiplantae; Streptophyta; Magnoliopsida; Rosales; Rosaceae. The transcript is spliced from 5 exons. The record is from RefSeq and is a predicted model, not a curated record.
GCGAUAGGAAUACCAUCAAAGGGUUGCAACACUUGAAAGGAAGGUGUAUGCUCUUACAAAGGAAAGGGACACGCUUCGGCGGGAGCAGAAUAAGAAAAGUGAUGCAGCUGCUCUUCUGAAGGAAAAGGAUGAAAUAAUUAAUCAAGUUAUGGCUGAAGGUGAAGAGCUUUCAAAAAAGCAGGCUGCUCAAGAAGGACAGAUUAGGAAAUUAAGGGCUCAGAUCAGAGAGUUUGAAGAAGAGAAGAAAGGGUUGAUUACUAAACUUCAGUUAUGAUUUCAGAUCUGUAGAUAACCUGUUGUUGCUGAUAUUGCUACCCGGGAGGAGAACAGAACAAGUUGGAAAAUGUGCAAGAAGGGAGAGCUAACUCAUACAACGAAGAACAAAUUGAUGAAGUUAAGAUCAAAUUAGUAGAAUUUGUGAGCUCUCCAUUAUUUAUAAUUAUAGGUAGGAAGUAUGUAUGUAAUAGAGCAAAGAUUGGUUGACUAUGUAAUAACAAUUGAAUUGUCAAGUUUUAUGAAAGAAAUAAUUUUUGCUUCUU